RNAcentral lists this ribosomal RNA (468 nucleotides) under uncultured bacterium. RNAcentral describes it as "partial 16S ribosomal RNA". It matches the Rfam family "Bacterial small subunit ribosomal RNA", at positions 28 to 507 of the family's 1533-position model. The record is from RNAcentral.
GACGAACGCUGGCGGCGUGCUUAACACGUGCAAGUCGAACGGAAAGGCCCUGCUCUUGUGGGGUGCUCGAGUGGCGAACGGGUGAGUAACACGUGAGUAACCUGCCCUUGACUUUGGGAUAACUUCAGGAAACUGGGGCUAAUACCGGAUAGGAUCUCCUGCUGCAUGGUGGGGGUUGGAAAGUUUCGGCGGUUGGGGAUGGACUCGCGGGUUAUCAGCUUGUUGGUGUGGUAGUGGCUUACCAAGGCUUUGACGGGUAGCCGGCCUGAGAGGGUGACCGGCCACAUUGGGACUGAGAGACGGCCCAGACUGCUACGGGAGGCAGAAGUGGGGAAUAUUGCACAAUGGGCGGAAGCCUGAUGCAGCAACGCCGCGUGCGGGAUGACGGCUUUCGGGUUGUAAACCGCUUUCGACUGUGACGAAGCGUGAGUGACGGUAAUGGGUAAAGAAGCCCCGGCUAACUACGUG